GACAGAGGUGCCGAGCGUUAGGCGGAAUCACUGGGCUUAAAGCGUGUGUAGGCGGCGGCGUAAGUACCUUGUGAAAUCCCACGGCUCAACCGUGGAACUGCUCGGUAUACUGCGUCGCUUGAGCCAGCUAGGGGCGACCGGAACAAACGGUGGAGCGGUGAAAUGCGUAGAUAUCGUUUGGAACGCCGAUGGUGAGAACAGGUCGCCUGGGGGCUGUGCUGACGCUGAGACA
RNAcentral lists this ribosomal RNA (232 nucleotides) under uncultured bacterium. RNAcentral's name for it is "partial 16S ribosomal RNA". It matches the Rfam family "Bacterial small subunit ribosomal RNA", at positions 524 to 753 of the family's 1533-position model. The record is from RNAcentral.